CCUACGGGGGGCUGCAGUAAGGAAUAUUGGUCAAUGGACGCAAGUCUGAACCAGCCAUGCCGCGUGAAGGAUGAAGGUCCUCUGGAUUGUAAACUUCUUUUAUAGGGGGCGAAAAAAGGGUUUUCUAACUCACUUGACAGUACCCUAUGAAUAAGCACCGGCUAACUCCGUGCCAGCAGCCGCGGUAAUACGGAGGGUGCAAGCGUUAUCCGGAUUCACUGGGUUUAAAGGGUGCGUAGGCGGAUAGGUAAGUCAGAGGUGAAAUCCUGGAGCUUAACUCCAGAACUGCCUUUGAUACUAUCUAUCUUGAAUAUGGUGGAGGUAAGCGGAAUAUGUCAUGUAGCGGUGAAAUGCAUAGAUAUGACAUAGAACACCUAUUGCGAAGGCAGCUUACUACGCCUAUAUUGACGCUGAGGCACGAAAGCGUGGGGAUCAAACAGGAUUAGAUACCCUUGUAGUC
This 460-nucleotide ribosomal RNA is filed under the name uncultured Chitinophagaceae bacterium. RNAcentral describes it as "bacterial SSU rRNA". It matches the Rfam family "Bacterial small subunit ribosomal RNA", at positions 338 to 795 of the family's 1533-position model. The record is from RNAcentral. Lineage: Bacteria; Pseudomonadati; Bacteroidota; Chitinophagia; Chitinophagales; Chitinophagaceae.